UCGAAGCCUAGAAAGCACGACCGCGAAUGAGUUAACAAUUGUGGAAGCGUUGUGAAGGCUUUGGCUUUUUCAGCGCGACCUCGCUCGGGUUGCGAGGAGCGCUUUUGCUUCUCGUCUCUCGAAUCUAACGAACCCCGGCGCGAACAGCGCCAAGGAAUCAAAACGAAAAGAACUUGACCCUCCAACCCGUCAUCGGGGUGUGAGGGCCUUGUCUGUUCAGAAAUUAUCAUAACGACUCUCGGCAACGGAUAUCUCGGCUCUCGCAUCGAUGAAGAACGUAGCAAAAUGCGAUACUUGGUGUGAAUUGCAGAAUCCCGUGAAUCAUCGAGUCUUUGAACGCAAGUUGCGCCCGAAGCCUUUAGGCCGAGGGCACGUCUGCCUGGGCGUCAUGCACUGCGAUGCCCCCAUCAAGCAUGUGGGGCGAAUCUUGGCCUCCCGUUAGCCCAACUAGCGGAUGGCUUAAAAAAGAGCCUCGAGACGGAAAAUCGUCGCGACAAGUGGUGGUUGAAGAGGCCCUAGGCCUUAGAACUUAGCGCGUUGCGACCUUUUCCCUCUUUUAUGCUCGAUAAAGACCUUAAGUGUUGCGUGUUUAUCACGCAUCGCCAGCAUC
RNAcentral lists this unclassified non-coding RNA (610 nucleotides) under Sedum annuum. RNAcentral describes it as "sequence contains ITS1, 5.8S rRNA gene and ITS2". The stretch from base 234 to 389 matches the Rfam family "5.8S ribosomal RNA". The record is from RNAcentral. Lineage: Eukaryota; Viridiplantae; Streptophyta; Magnoliopsida; Saxifragales; Crassulaceae.